Molecule: non-coding RNA, 94 nt
Organism: Hypoxylon argillaceum
Lineage: Eukaryota; Fungi; Ascomycota; Sordariomycetes; Xylariales; Hypoxylaceae
Source: the annotation of a GenBank genome assembly
UCCGAAUUGGUGUAGUGGCUAACAUUUGACGCUCUCAUCGUCUACCGACGUAGCAGGCACCGUCAAGCCCGGGGUUCGAUUCCCCGAUUCGGAG